GGGUUGUGAGGUUAAGCGACUAAGCGUACACGGUGGAUGCCCUGGCAGUCAGAGGCGAUGAAGGACGUGCUAAUCUGCGAAAAGCGUCGGUAAGGUGAUAUGAACCGUUACAGCCGGCGAUGUCCGAAUGGGGAAACCCAGUGCAAUUCGUUGCACUAUCGUUAACUGAAUACAUAGGUUAACGAGGCGAACCGGGGGAACUGAAACAUCUAAGUACCCCGAGGAAAAGAAAUCAACCGAGAUUCCCCCAGUAGCGGCGAGCGAACGGGGAGCAGCCCGGAGUCUGAAUCAGCUUGUGUGUUAGUGGAAGCGUCUGGAAAGUCGCAGGGUACAGGGUGAUACUCCCGUACACUAAAACGCACAGGUUGUGAACUCGAAGAGUAGGGCGGGACACGUGGUAUCCUGUCUGAAUAUGGGGGGACCAUCCUCCAAGGCUAAAUACUCCUGACUGACCGAUAGUGAACCAGUACCGUGAGGGAAAGGCGAAAAGAACCCCGGCGAGGGGAGUGAAAAAGAACCUGAAACCGUGUACGUACAAGCAGUAGGAGCCCACUAGUUGGGUGACUGCGUACCUUUUGUAUAAUGGGUCAGCGACUUAUAUUCUGUAGCAAGGUUAACCGUAUAGGGGAGCCGCAGGGAAACCGAGUCUUAACUGGGCGUUAAGUUGCAGGGUAUAGACCCGAAACCCGGUGAUCUAGCCAUGGGCAGGUUGAAGGUUGGGUAACACUAACUGGAGGACCGAACCGACUAAUGUUGAAAAAUUAGCGGAUGACUUGUGGCUGGGGGUGAAAGGCCAAUCAAACCGGGAGAUAGCUGGUUCUCCCCGAAAGCUAUUUAGGUAGCGCCUCGUGAAUUCAUCUUCGGGGGUAGAGCACUGUUUCGGCUAGGGGGUCAUCCCGACUUACCAACCCGAUGCAAACUACGAAUACCGAAGAAUGUUAUCACGGGAGACACACGGCGGGUGCUAACGUCCGUCGUGAAGAGGGAAACAACCCAGACCGCCAGCUAAGGUCCCAAAGUCAUGGUUAAGUGGGAAACGAUGUGGGAAGGCCCAGACAGCCAGGAUGUUGGCUUAGAAGCAGCCAUCAUUUAAAGAAAGCGUAAUAGCUCACUGGUCGAGUCGGCCUGCGCGGAAGAUGUAACGGGGCUAAACCAUGCACCGAAGCUGCGGCAGCGACACUAUGUGUUGUUGGGUAGGGGAGCGUUCUGUAAGCCGUUGAAGGUGGCCUGUGAGGGUUGCUGGAGGUAUCAGAAGUGCGAAUGCUGACAUAAGUAACGAUAAUGCGGGUGAAAAACCCGCACGCCGGAAGACCAAGGGUUCCUGUCCAACGUUAAUCGGGGCAGGGUGAGUCGACCCCUAAGGCGAGGCCGAAAGGCGUAGUCGAUGGGAAACAGGUUAAUAUUCCUGUACUUGGUGUUACUGCGAAGGGGGGACGGAGAAGGCUAUGUUGGCCGGGCGACGGUUGUCCCGGUUUAAGCAUGUAGGCGGAUGUUCCAGGUAAAUCCGGAGCGUCACUAACGCUGAGGUGUGAUGACGAGGCACUACGGUGCUGAAGUGACAAAUGCCCUGCUUCCAGGAAAAGCCUCUAAGCAUCAGGUAACAUCAAAUCGUACCCCAAACCGACACAGGUGGUCAGGUAGAGAAUACCAAGGCGCUUGAGAGAACUCGGGUGAAGGAACUAGGCAAAAUGGUGCCGUAACUUCGGGAGAAGGCACGCUGAUGGUAGGUGAAGUGACUUGCUCAUGGAGCUGAAAUCAGUCGAAGAUACCAGCUGGCUGCAACUGUUUAUUAAAAACACAGCACUGUGCAAACACGAAAGUGGACGUAUACGGUGUGACGCCUGCCCGGUGCCGGAAGGUUAAUUGAUGGGGUUAUCCUCGCGGAGAAGCUCUUGAUCGAAGCCCCGGUAAACGGCGGCCGUAACUAUAACGGUCCUAAGGUAGCGAAAUUCCUUGUCGGGUAAGUUCCGACCUGCACGAAUGGCGUAAUGAUGGCCAGGCUGUCUCCACCCGAGACUCAGUGAAAUUGAACUCGCUGUGAAGAUGCAGUGUACCCGCGGCAAGACGGAAAGACCCCGUGAACCUUUACUAUAGCUUGACACUGAACACUGGUCCUUGAUGUGUAGGAUAGGUGGGAGGCUUUGAAGUGUGGACGCCAGUCUGCAUGGAGCCAUCCUUGAAAUACCACCCUUUAAUGGCUGGUGUUCUAACGUGGGCCCGUGAUCCGGGUUGCGGACAGUGUCUGGUGGGUAGUUUGACUGGGGCGGUCUCCUCCUAAAGAGUAACGGAGGAGCACGAAGGUCAGCUAAUCCUGGUCGGACAUCAGGAGGUUAGUGCAAUGGCAUAAGCUGGCUUGACUGCGAGCGUGACGGCGCGAGCAGGUGCGAAAGCAGGUCAUAGUGAUCCGGUGGUUCUGAAUGGAAGGGCCAUCGCUCAACGGAUAAAAGGUACUCCGGGGAUAACAGGCUGAUACCGCCCAAGAGUUCAUAUCGACGGCGGUGUUUGGCACCUCGAUGUCGGCUCAUCACAUCCUGGGGCUGAAGUAGGUCCCAAGGGUAUGGCUGUUCGCCAUUUAAAGUGGUACGCGAGCUGGGUUUAGAACGUCGUGAGACAGUUCGGUCCCUAUCUGCCGUGGGCGCUGGAGAAUUGAGGGGGGCUGCUCCUAGUACGAGAGGACCGGAGUGGACGCAUCACUGGUGUUCGGGUUGUCAUGCCAAUGGCAUUGCCCGGUAGCUAAAUGCGGAAGAGAUAAGUGCUGAAAGCAUCUAAGCACGAAACUUGCCCCGAGAUGAGUUCUCCCUGACUCCUUGAGAGUCCUGAAGGAACGUUGAAGACGACGACGUUGAUAGGCCGGGUGUGUAAGCGCAGCGAUGCGUUGAGCUAACCGGUACUAAUGAACCGUGAGGCUUAACCUUACAACGCCGAAG
RNAcentral lists this ribosomal RNA (2927 nucleotides) under Klebsiella oxytoca. RNAcentral describes it as "23S ribosomal RNA". It matches the Rfam family "Bacterial large subunit ribosomal RNA". Lineage: Bacteria; Pseudomonadati; Pseudomonadota; Gammaproteobacteria; Enterobacterales; Enterobacteriaceae. The record is from RNAcentral.